CAGGGGAUCAGGACAGCUCAGUUUAGAAGAGUGCCUUAAACACGCCCACCAGUUCCUAACCAUCACACAGCCAGGUCCUGGGGAGUGUGCUUCACCUGUGGGGUUUGGUUCAGCUUGGAGGCCUUGGCCUGCAUGGGUCAUAGCUACCACAAUGGAGGGCCUGUGACUUCCUGAUGGCCCUCCAGAUGAAGGACAGGGGGCUGGGGGUGAGGACUUUGAGUCCUGUGAGCAACGUCGCUAUGUCCAGAGCACUAACUCCCAGAUCCUCAACACCUGCUUGGCCUCAUGGCUGCCAGGAGAGCAUCUCGAGGAUGUUCAAUAAGAGCUGUGCCAUCAGCUACACCUCCUACAGGAACGUAUUCAGAGUGUGGACGCUGUGCCGCCUUCUCCAACCUUUACCUUUACCCCUCCAGCCCUCUGGCUGUGAAGGUCAAGCUGUGAGGUCAGGAGUCAGCAGAGGUGUGCUCAGUGUCAUUUCUGAAAUCUUUACAUUGAUUACAUUGAGAACAGUGGGAUGCUAAUGAAAGGUGCUGAAACAGGAGUCCUGAAAUGACAACCCUGGGAUUACUUUACCAUGCAUGCUAUUUAACAUUCUUUUGCCUUACGUUUUUGGUGGGACUGAACUCGUUGAAACAACCUUUUAGCUGAGAAAUAGUGUCAUUUUGGCUCCUGUAUUAUGACAUUAAAUCGAUACCCUUUUCAUCAGUCUGUAAAUAGUGCUGAAAUAGAAAAAUGUCCAUGUUCCCUAUUAAUAUUAACCUUUCUGAAAAUAUAUUGAUCAGUGGCAAUCAGUGCCGUUUAAGAUGCGGGAGGACUGUUUUUUUUUCAUGAGCGUGGCCAUGUUUCUAUUACAGUAUAUUGGAUGACUCUCAUUCAUAUUCCAGGCACCCAGUUCAAUGUAACAGCGAUAGGUUUAGGCUACUACACGAUACUCAAAUGUUCCCUAUUGUAACGAAGUGCGCUGAGAGUCGGGAAACAAGUUCAGGGAGUGAGUGUUUUUAAUGGAAAAAAACGCUACAUAAUCCAAAACAAACACGAACAACGCACAGACAAGGUAAUCAAGGAGGUGAUGGAGUCCAGGUUAGUGUCAUAUUGCGCUAAUGCUCGUAACGAUGGUGACAGGUGUGCGCCUUAACGAGCCGCCUGGUGACCUAGAGGCCGGAGAAGGAGCACACGUGACGGUACCCCCUCCCCGACGCGUGGCUCCAGCCGCAGGACGCCAACAAAGAUGACGAUCCCGGGGAUCAGGAGCGGACCGGUCACCUCUGCUAAGGCACAGGAGCAUGGCAACCUAGAGCGCCUGAGAGAGAGCAUACCUGACGGUACCCCCUCCCCAGCGCGUUCGGCUCCAGCCGCAGGACUCCAACCACAGAGUGUCAUAUUGCGCUAAUGCGCGUAACGAUGGUGACAGGUGUGCACCUUGACGAGCAGCCUGGUGACCUAGAGGCUGGAGAGGGUGCACACGUGACACCUAUACCCUUCACGAGGAUGCUACAACCUAGCCUUUGAAUGAAAGUUUACAUCGUAGGUGCACUCAGGUCGGAGACAAAUUUGAGGUGACAGACCGUGACAUUCAAUACGCCUUGCACACUCGCCUGCAUCUAGCUGAUAUACAGUACCACAAAA
Molecule: long non-coding RNA, 1626 nt
Organism: Oncorhynchus kisutch (coho salmon)
Lineage: Eukaryota; Metazoa; Chordata; Actinopteri; Salmoniformes; Salmonidae
Exons: 4
Source: RefSeq, a predicted model, not a curated record